GGUCCCUGCUUUCCUGAAGAACAGUGACACAGCUUUGGCUGUGUUAGGUGCUGCCCACCAGAGAUGUCCAAGUUAGGCUGUGCCAAGGUUUUCAUAGAUGUUUCAGAGCAGGAGACAUCCUGCUGCAUUCUGGUAGAGGACUGUCAGAGUGGGAAGAGCCAGACUUGAGAAAAAUUGCUGCUUAUCUUCCAUUUCCCAAGAUGCUGAAGCCCAACACCCCAAACUGUCAUUACUGCC
Molecule: long non-coding RNA, 237 nt
Organism: Calypte anna (Anna's hummingbird)
Lineage: Eukaryota; Metazoa; Chordata; Aves; Apodiformes; Trochilidae
Exons: 3
Source: RefSeq, a predicted model, not a curated record